Actinia tenebrosa (Australian red waratah sea anemone) is the source of this 252-nucleotide long non-coding RNA. The record is from RefSeq and is a predicted model, not a curated record. Lineage: Eukaryota; Metazoa; Cnidaria; Anthozoa; Actiniaria; Actiniidae.
UGUCUGGUUSGACGACAUCAGCAUAUAAAUAUACGACGCACAAUGAUAAGAAUAAGUUAAAACCAUUUCCCAUCACUCUUGUGGUAGUUCUUAUGAGAAUUCUAUUGACUUGUUUCAUUUGCUUACUUCUUGUUAUAUGCGUUUGGAAAAGAAAAACAGGAACUUCUGAACGAGACGAAGUUAGCCAACGACAACCGUCAGAGAUGGCUACCAUUACAUGCAUAAAUAUCAAUGAAGGGAGCUCGUCCAUGC